AGAAAAGAGGCGGCAGCGAAGCGGCGACCGGGAAGCUGCGAAAUUCAAAGCGUCUGGGACCCAGCGUGUCUGCAAAGCGCAUUCGCCGGAUCCAUCGGCAAUUUUUCACGCGAUUCGGAUCCGCGAGGGAAGCCAGCAGCCCUGGCCGUGGAGUCGGAGGCGGACCGCGCGAGCCGGUGCUCACAAAGGCGCGUCCUCGCGAGGAAAUUUAUCGCGACGGGACGACGUUUCCCGUGAAAAGCGUCGAAGAAAGAGGACAGAGACGAGAAAGGGGACAGGGAGCGUCGGGGUGCACGGAGGACGCGGCAAUCUCGUGAAUAGACGCGCCUUCCAGAAGCGUCGCGAAUCAAUUCCCGGAUUGACUCUGCACCAGGUUGCCGCGCCGAUUUUUCAGCUUUCUCCAGCCGGAAAACUCGCACGUCUCGUAUCAGCGGCAUAUCUGCACGGUUACUGAAUGGGAAAAUGGACGGACAGGAAUGCAAUAUACGCGGCUGUCUCGCGCGUGCCUUCGUCGCCUAUACCAGGGAAUAUAAACAAAGACGACGACGGUCGGGAAGACGCCAUGCUUCGACGAGUCAGUCGACACCGGAACGCUGAGCUCGACGUACACAACACGAGGUUCAGGUCUGGGACUGAGCUUGAAGAACGAGGAGCCUUGGACCCAAUCGCAGAGGACCCUUCGACACAGAUGACAAUGGCAAGAUCCUUAAAACCUGAAAUCAGCUACUGACCUGCGACUGGCACGCCUCACAUCAUCGUUGCAUUGCUAUGGUUUGUUCCAGAAGUGUUAAGGCAUCAGUGAGAAUCGCUGACCGACUCAUUAAACCUAAUGGCGUGAGCAAUGGUCUUCGUUCCCCCACUACCUACUUAUCCUGAUUACUAUUCGCUUAAAUAGAUGGUAAGGUGGUCAUAAAUCGUGGAUUCUCAACAGGGAAUGUUCGAGCUUGGACAAGUUACGUGUCCUUUCCAUGGAUACGGGUUUUUGGACCCUUGGAUUAUCCUGCGAGAAGGUGUCGAA
Long non-coding RNA from Eufriesea mexicana, 1018 nucleotides. RefSeq lists it as uncharacterized. The transcript is spliced from 4 exons. Lineage: Eukaryota; Metazoa; Arthropoda; Insecta; Hymenoptera; Apidae. The record is from RefSeq and is a predicted model, not a curated record.